AUACGUAGGUGGCGAGCGUUGUCCGGAUUUACUGGGGUGUAAAGGGCGUGUAGGCGGGAGAUCAAGUCAGAUGUGAAAUACCGCAGCUUAACUGCGGGGCUGCAUUUGAAACUGAACUUCUUGAGUGAUGGAGAGGCAAGCGGAAUUCCUAGUGUAGCGGUGAAAUGCGUAGAUAUUAGGAGGAACACCAGUGGCGAAGGCGGCUUGCUGGACAUUGACUGACGCUGAGGCGCGAAAGCGUGGGGAGC
RNAcentral lists this ribosomal RNA (248 nucleotides) under uncultured bacterium. RNAcentral's name for it is "partial 16S ribosomal RNA". It matches the Rfam family "Bacterial small subunit ribosomal RNA", at positions 523 to 769 of the family's 1533-position model. The record is from RNAcentral.